RNAcentral lists this ribosomal RNA (395 nucleotides) under Stramenopiles sp. MAST-6. Its description in RNAcentral is "partial small subunit ribosomal RNA". It matches the Rfam family "Eukaryotic small subunit ribosomal RNA", at positions 582 to 975 of the family's 1831-position model. The record is from RNAcentral.
AUUCCAGCUCCAAUAGCGUAUAUUAAAGUUGUUGCAGUUAAAAAGCUCGUAGUUGGAUUUCUGGCGGGAGCGGCCUGUCCUGCCCUUUGCGGGGUUGAGCACAAGCGCUGCAUCCGGCCAUCCUUGUGGAGAGCGUUUCUGGCAUUCAGUUGUCGGACUCGGGAUCCGCAUCGUUUACUGUGAAAAAAUUAGAGUGUUUAAAGCAGGCAUUUGCUUGAAUACAUUAGCAUGGAAUAAUAAGAUAGGACUUAGUCGUUAUUUUGUUGGUCUUGCACGUCUAGGUAAUGAUUAAUAGGGAUAGUUGGGGGUAUUCAUAUUUAAUUGUCAGAGGUGAAAUUCUUGGAUUUAUGAAAGAUGAACUUAUGCGAAAGCAUUUACCAUGGAUGUUUUCAUUA